AGUGAACGCUGGCGGUAGGCCUAACACAUGCAAGUCGAACGGCAGCACAGUAAGAGCUUGCUCUUACGGGUGGCGAGUGGCGGACGGGUGAGGAAUACAUCGGAAUCUACUUUUUCGUGGGGGAUAACGUAGGGAAACUUACGCUAAUACCGCAUACGACCUACGGGUGAAAGCAGGGGAUCUUCGGACCUUGCGCGAUUGAAUGAGCCGAUGUCGGAUUAGCUAGUUGGCGGGGUAAAGGCCCACCAAGGCGACGAUCCGUAGCUGGUCUGAGAGGAUGAUCGGCCAAACUGGAACUGAGACACGGUCCAGACUCCUACGGAAGGCAGCAGUGGGGAAUAUUGAACAAUGGGGGCAAGCCUGAUCCAGCCAUCCCGCGUGGGUGAAGAAGGCCUUCGGGUUGUAAAGCCCUUUUGUGGGGAAAGAAAGCAGCAGGUUAAUACCCCGCUGUUCUGACGGUACCCAAAGAAUAAGCACCGGCUAACUUCGUG
RNAcentral lists this ribosomal RNA (491 nucleotides) under uncultured bacterium. RNAcentral describes it as "partial 16S ribosomal RNA". It matches the Rfam family "Bacterial small subunit ribosomal RNA", at positions 29 to 507 of the family's 1533-position model. The record is from RNAcentral.